Molecule: long non-coding RNA, 298 nt
Filed under: Populus trichocarpa (black cottonwood)
Lineage: Eukaryota; Viridiplantae; Streptophyta; Magnoliopsida; Malpighiales; Salicaceae
Description: long non-coding RNA (PTRI_LNC001581)
Source: RNAcentral
GUUUUUUCAUUAUAAUUAUUAUUAUAUUGUAUUAUAUUAUAUGACUGUUUUUUUCUUUUGUUUUUUCUUUUUAAUUUUUUUAAUGAAUUUGUUUUGUUAAUGUUAAUUUUUUUUUUAUUUAAUUAUCAUAUUUUCAUGAUACGAAUCUCGGGUUUGAUAGGUUAACCUGAUUUAACGAGUUAUUUUUUUUCAUUUAGUUUAGUUUGUUAAAGUUAAUUUUCUUUCUAUUUAAUUAUUAGAUUUUCAUGACAUGUAUCCUGGGCUUGACGGGUUAACUUGGUUUGAUGGGUUAACCCGG